CUACACAUGCAGUCGAACGGUAACAGGAAGCAGCUUGCUGCUUUGCUGACGAGUGGCGGACCCUAAAGUAAUGUCUGGGAAACUGCCUGAUGGAGGGGGAUAACUACUGGAAACGGUAGCUAAUACCGCAUAACGUCGCAAGACCAAAGAGGGGGACCUUCGGGCCUCUUGCCAUCAGAUGUGCCCAGAUGGGAUUAGCUUGUUGGUGGGGUAACGGCUCACCAAGGCGACGAUCCCUAGCUGGUCUGAGAGGAUGACCAGCCACACUGGAACUGAGACACGGUCCAGACUCCUACGGGAGGCAGCAGUGGGGAAUAUUGCACAAUGGGCGCAAGCCUGAUGCAGCCAUGCCGCGUGUAUGAAGAAGGCCUUCGGGUUGUAAAGUACUUUCAGCGGGGAGGAAGGUGUUGUGGUUAAUAACCGCAGCAAUUGACGUUACCCGCAGAAGAAGCACCGGCUAACUCCGUGCCAGCAGCCGCGGUAAUACGGAGGGUGCAAGCGUUAAUCGGAAUUACUGGGCGUAAAGCGCACGCAGGCGGUCUGUUAAGUCAGAUGUGAAAUCCCCGGGCUCAACCUGGGAACUGCAUCUGAUACUGGCAGGCUUGAGUCUCGUAGAGGGGGGUAGAAUUCCAGGUGUAGCGGUGAAAUGCGUAGAGAUCUGGAGGAAUACCGGUGGCGAAGGCGGCCCCCUGGACGAAGACUGACGCUCAGGUGCGAAAGCGUGGGGAGCAAACAGGAUUAGAUACCCUGGUAGUCCACGCCGUAAACGAUGUCGACUUGGAGGUUGUGCCCUUGAGGCGUGGCUUCCGGAGCUAACGCGUUAAGUCGACCGCCUGGGGAGUACGGCCGCAAGGUUAAAACUCAAAUGAAUUGACGGGGGCCCGCACAAGCGGUGGAGCAUGUGGUUUAAUUCGAUGCAACGCGAAGAACCUUACCUGGUCUUGACAUCCACGGAAGUUUUCAGAGAUGACAUGGUGCCUUCGGGAACCGUGAGACAGGUGCUGCAUGGCUGUCGUCAGCUCGUGUUGUGAAAUGUUGGGUUAAGUCCCGCAACGAGCGCAACCCUUAUCCUUUGUUGCCAGCGGUUAGGCCGGGAACUCAAAGGAGACUGCCA
This 1114-nucleotide ribosomal RNA is filed under the name Citrobacter koseri. RNAcentral's name for it is "bacterial SSU rRNA". It matches the Rfam family "Bacterial small subunit ribosomal RNA", at positions 49 to 1154 of the family's 1533-position model. Lineage: Bacteria; Pseudomonadati; Pseudomonadota; Gammaproteobacteria; Enterobacterales; Enterobacteriaceae. The record is from RNAcentral.